UGCAGUAUUUUAACUGUGCAAAGGUAGCAUAAUCAUUAGUCUUCUAAUUAAAGGCUGGAAUGAAGGGUUGAACGAGGUAUAAGCUGUCUCAUAAGAAUUAAUUUAAUUUGACUUUUUAGUGAAAAGGCUAAAAUAAGGUUAGAGGACGAGAAGACCCUAUAGAGCUUUAUAAUUAAGUUUAAUAAAAAUUUAGAAGAGGUUUAAUUGUUAGGUUAAGUUAUUUUGUUGGGGUGACAAGGAAAUAAUAAAACUUUCUUUGACGUAGGCCAUGAAUUGAUGAAUUUUAGAUCCGUUGAUAGCGAUUAAAAGACUAAGUUACCUUAGGGAUAACAGCGUAAUCUUAUUUGAGAGUUCAAAUCGACAAUAGGG
RNAcentral lists this ribosomal RNA (369 nucleotides) under Rhoenanthus speciosus. RNAcentral describes it as "partial 16S ribosomal RNA". It matches the Rfam family "Bacterial large subunit ribosomal RNA", at positions 1932 to 2516 of the family's 2925-position model. The record is from RNAcentral. Lineage: Eukaryota; Metazoa; Arthropoda; Insecta; Ephemeroptera; Potamanthidae.